AGAGUUUGAUCCUGGCUCAGAUUGAACGCUGGCGGCAGGCCUAACACAUGCAAGUCGAGCGGAUGAAAGGAGCUUGCUCCUGGAUUCAGCGGCGGACGGGUGAGUAACGCCUAGGAAUCUGCCUGGUAGUGGGGGACAACGUUUCGAAAGGAACGCUAAUACCGCAUACGUCCUACGGGAGAAAGCAGGGGACCUUCGGGCCUUGCGCUAUCAGAUGAGCCUAGGUCGGAUUAGCUAGUUGGUGAGGUAAUGGCUCACCAAGGCGACGAUCCGUAACUGGUCUGAGAGGAUGAUCAGUCACACUGGAACUGAGACACGGUCCAGACUCCUACGGGAGGCAGCAGUGGGGAAUAUUGGACAAUGGGCG
RNAcentral lists this ribosomal RNA (367 nucleotides) under uncultured bacterium. Its description in RNAcentral is "bacterial SSU rRNA". It matches the Rfam family "Bacterial small subunit ribosomal RNA", at positions 8 to 377 of the family's 1533-position model. The record is from RNAcentral.